This 525-nucleotide long non-coding RNA is filed under the name Chrysolophus pictus (golden pheasant). RNAcentral describes it as "lncRNA (ENSCPIG00010010746.1)". The record is from RNAcentral. Lineage: Eukaryota; Metazoa; Chordata; Aves; Galliformes; Phasianidae.
GCUGGGAUUGUAGCACUGACAGUAAGAGCAUAAGUGCACAUCAUGACAGAAGUAGACUGGAAACGUUCACCAGAACACCACUGACUUUAUUUCUGUUCUCAAAGGUGUGAUGCUUCCAGAAUGUCCAAGAACACAGUGUAAGAGGAGGCAGCAGAGGCAAUGAAUAUGACCAGGAGGUUUUGCUGUUCAGUGAGCAUUGUGAGAAACGUGUCAGUACCUAAAAGGCAAAUUCAGUUUCCAGCACCACUACAUUGUUCCAGUACAGCUGAAAAAGUGAACAGUACCAGCACGUCUAUUUCUAAGCAUCAUCAUGUACAAGAAAAAAAAAGGCUUCUGCUUUCACGGGGUUUGUGGUGAACACAAGGAAGUUGUCUGGGUUUUGCUCACCUGGGUUCCAGAGCAGCUGCACACCGAUGCUCACCCUCCUCCUCUCGCCUCCUGAAACGCCACGGAGGUACUCGUUCCCUACCCUCGUGUUCGCGCACUGCCGCAACCGUAGCUCUGCUAUUACAUCUUCCACCUGGG